RNAcentral lists this ribosomal RNA (444 nucleotides) under uncultured bacterium. RNAcentral's name for it is "partial 16S ribosomal RNA". It matches the Rfam family "Bacterial small subunit ribosomal RNA", at positions 354 to 796 of the family's 1533-position model. The record is from RNAcentral.
GUAGGGAAUAUUGGGCAAUGGUCGGAAGACUGACCCAGCCAUGCCGCGUGCAGGAAGACGGCCCUCUGGGUUGUAAACUGCUUUUAUCUGGGAAGAAAAAGGCCAUGCGUGGCAAAUUGCCGGUACCAGAUGAAUAAGCACCGGCUAACUCCGUGCCAGCAGCCGCGGUAAUACGGAGGGUGCGAGCGUUGUCAGGAUUUAUUGGGUUUAAAGGGUGCGUAGGCGGCUGAUUAAGUCAGCGGUGAAAGACUUCGGCUUAACCGGAGCAGUGCCGUUGAUACUGGUUGGCUUGAGUGUCGGAGGGGUACAUGGAAUUGAUGGUGUAGCGGUGAAAUGCAUAGAUACCAUCAGGAACACCGAUAGCGAAGGCAUUGUACUGGCCGACAACUGACGCUGAUGCACGAAAGUGUGGGGAUCGAACAGGAUUAGAAACCCCGGUAGUCC